AGAGUUUGAUCAUGGCUCAGGAUGAAUGCUGGCGGCGUGGAUGAGUCAUGCAAGUCAAGGGGCCGCAAGGCACCGGCAGACGAGGUAGUAAUACGCAGGUACGCACCGAAGAGUCUGGCAUAGCUCGUCGAAAGACGGGGUAAUUCCAGAUGGUACGGCGACGUUAAAGGGGCAACCCGCUCUUUGAGCGGCCUGCGGCGCAUCAGCUAGUUGGUAAGGUAACGGCUUACCAAGGCUAUGACGCGUAGGGGAGCUGAGAGGCUGACCCCCACCGAUGGGACUGAGAUACGGCCCAUACACCUACGGGUGGCUGCAGACGAGAAUAUUCGACAAUGGGCGAAAGCCUGAUCGAGCGACGCCGCGUGGUUGAUGAAGUCCUUCGGGACGUAAAAACCUUUUAUGGGGGAGGAAGUUAUUGACGUUACCCCAUGAAUAAGAGGCUCCUAACUCUGUGCCAGCAGGAGCGGUAAUACAGAGGCCUCAAGCAUUAUCCGGAAUCACUGGGCGUAAAGGGUGUGUAGGCGGCCUUGUUAGUCUUUCGUGAAAGGUCUUGGGCUUAACCCAGGAACCGCGAGAGAAACGGCAAGGCUUAGAGGGCGCGAGAGGUAGAGGGAACUCAUGGUGUAGGGGUGAAAUCCGUUGAUAUCAUGGGGAACACCAAAUGCGAAGGCACUCUACUGGCGCGUUCCUGACGCUGAGACACGAAAGCGUGGGAAUCGAACGGGAUUAGAUACCCCAGUAGUCC
RNAcentral lists this ribosomal RNA (745 nucleotides) under uncultured bacterium. RNAcentral describes it as "bacterial SSU rRNA". It matches the Rfam family "Bacterial small subunit ribosomal RNA", at positions 8 to 796 of the family's 1533-position model. The record is from RNAcentral.